RNAcentral lists this ribosomal RNA (383 nucleotides) under uncultured eukaryote. RNAcentral's name for it is "partial 18S ribosomal RNA". It matches the Rfam family "Eukaryotic small subunit ribosomal RNA", at positions 592 to 976 of the family's 1831-position model. The record is from RNAcentral.
CAAUAGCGUAUAUUAAAGUUGUUGCGGUUAAAAAGCUCGUAGUUGGAUCUCGGCAGGCAGGGGGUGGUUCGCUCUUAGCGCUACUGCCCCAUUUGCCUGUGUGAUUGGCGGAGGUUUCGGGGUGCUCUUCGUUGAGUGACCCGGGGCGCCGUCAGGUUUACUUUGAAAAAAUUGGAGCGCUCAAAGCAGGCUUUUCACGCUUGAAUAUUCGUGCAUGGAAUAAUGGAAUAGGAACUCGUUUCUAUUUUGUUGGUUUUCGGAAAUCGAGUUAAUGAUUAAUAGGGACAAUUGGGGGCAUUAGUAUUCAGACGACAGAGGUGAAAUUCUUGGACCGUCUGAAGACUAACUACUGCGAAAGCAUUUGCCAAGAGUGUUUUCAUUAA